UUUUGCAGAAGAGGAGCACUGCCCAGGUAGACGUGUUGUGGAGCCACAAAUCCGAUACAACACAUUGAGGGGGAGUAGUGCCGAGGUAGAUCCGAAGUGUCGGUUUGGAUCUGUCGGUUGCUAGGGUUGAAUCCCUACAACUGUCAUCAGCCCAGUCUGAUGAUGAGCUUCUGAGGAA
RNAcentral lists this non-coding RNA (178 nucleotides) under Vibrio tubiashii. RNAcentral describes it as "Lysine sequence". It matches the Rfam family "Lysine riboswitch aptamer". From Rfam's summary of the family: Riboswitches are metabolite binding domains within certain messenger RNAs that serve as precision sensors for their corresponding targets. Allosteric rearrangement of mRNA structure is mediated by ligand binding, and this results in modulation of gene expression. This family includes riboswitches that sense lysine in a number of genes involved in lysine metabolism, including lysC. Lineage: Bacteria; Pseudomonadati; Pseudomonadota; Gammaproteobacteria; Vibrionales; Vibrionaceae. The record is from RNAcentral.